UGGGGAAUAUUGGACAAUGGGGGGAACCCUGAUCCAGCCAUGCCGCGUGUGUGAAGAAGGCCUUAUGGUUGUAAAGCACUUUAAGCGAGGAGGAGGGUACUGGUAUUAAUACUACCAGCUACUGGACGUUACUCGCAGAAUAAGCACCGGCUAACUCUGUGCCAGCAGCCGCGGUAAUACAGAGGGUGCGAGCGUUAAUCGGAUUUACUGGGCGUAAAGCGUGCGUAGGCGGCUAAUUGAGUCGGAUGUGAAAUCCCCGAGCUUAACUUGGGAACUGCAUCCAAAACUGGCGAGCUAGAGUAGGGCAGAGGGUGGUGGAAUUUCCUGUGUAGCGGUGAAAUGCGUAGAUAUAGGAAGGAACACCAGUGGCGAAGGCGACCACCUGGGCUCAUACUGACACUGAGGUGCGAAAGCGUGGGGAGCAAACAGG
This 430-nucleotide ribosomal RNA is filed under the name Pseudomonadota bacterium. RNAcentral's name for it is "Proteobacteria bacterium partial 16S ribosomal RNA". It matches the Rfam family "Bacterial small subunit ribosomal RNA", at positions 355 to 776 of the family's 1533-position model. Lineage: Bacteria; Pseudomonadati; Pseudomonadota. The record is from RNAcentral.